This is a long non-coding RNA of Homo sapiens (human), 650 nucleotides long. Ensembl annotates it as long intergenic non-protein coding RNA 2104. The record is from Ensembl. NCBI's taxonomy places the organism in Eukaryota, Metazoa, Chordata, Mammalia, Primates, Hominidae.
GACAUCAUCAAGUUUCCUGAAGGCUAUAGCCGGAGCCACGAAAAAGUUCGGAAACAAAUUGCUUGGUCUUUGAGGAAUCGCCACACUGCCUUCCACAUGGAAAGGACACAAAUGGUUGAACUGAUUUACACUCCCACCAACUGUGUAUAAGUGUGCCUUUUUCUCCACAACCAGCUUUGUUAACAGCGUGAAGACUAGAAGAAAAAGAAUGGAAGAAAGAAGUGAAAGAGAAACAAAUAGGGAAGGGGAUCCCUCGGAUGACUGGGAAGGAAAGGAAAACCAGAAAAAGCAGUCAGGAUGAAUGCCUGACAAAAAACUCUGCUGCAGUGACACUUUGACAUGAAGCAGAUUCAAACUUUCUAUGACUGAACAGGACAUUUUCCAUUUAUUGCUCCUUUGAUACCCAAGCUCCUCAAUGGGGGUAUUCUUCAAUGAGACACUUUUACCAGUGACCAUAUUCUUGCUUGUUGGUUUCUUUUUUUUUUAAAGUAUGUUGCUGCUGUACUUUUAAGAAAGUUGUGUUUUAUCUUAGUACUUUGAUAUUCAUAAAUGGUAUAAAGCAUAAUUUUACCACAUAGCUUUAAUGGAAUACUUUUUACAAACAAAAUAAAACUUGACCUUCUUCCACCCUAUCUCCACAUCGGAACUAA